RNAcentral lists this ribosomal RNA (692 nucleotides) under Deltaproteobacteria bacterium. RNAcentral's name for it is "bacterial SSU rRNA". It matches the Rfam family "Bacterial small subunit ribosomal RNA", at positions 841 to 1533 of the family's 1533-position model. The record is from RNAcentral. Lineage: Bacteria; Pseudomonadati; Myxococcota; Myxococcia.
CAGUAAUACAGUUAACACAUUAAGUGUGCCGCCUGGGGAGUACGGUCGCAAGAUUAAAACUCAAAGGAAUAGACGGGGACCCGCACAAGCGGUGGAGCAUGUGGUUUAAUUCGAAGAUACGCGAAGAACCUUACCUAGACUUGAAAUCCUUGGAAUCCUGUAGAGAUACGGGAGUGCUAGUUUACUAGAACCAAGUGACAGGUGCUGCACGGCUGUCGUCAGCUCGUGUCGUGAGAUGUUGGGUUAAGUCCCGCAACGAGCGCAACCCUCGUGAUUAGUUGCUAACAGUUCGGCUGAGCACUCUAAUCAGACUGCCUUCGUAAGGAGGAGGAAGGUGAGGACGACGUCAAGUCAUCAUGGCCCUUAUGUCUAGGGCUACACACGUGCUACAAUGGUUGGGACAAAGAGCAGCGAUACCGUGAGGUGGAGCAAAUCUUGAAACCCAAUCUCAGUUCGGAUUGAAGUCUGCAACUCGACUUCAUGAAGCUGGAAUCGCUAGUAAUCGUAGAUCAGCAAUGCUACGGUGAAUACGUUCCCGGGUCUUGUACUCACCGCCCGUCACACCAUGGGAGUUGAUUUCGCUCGAAGCCGGAAUACUAAAUUAGUUACCGUCCACAGCGGAAUUAGCGACUGGGGUGAAGUCGUAACAAGGUAACCGUAGGAGAACCUGCGGUUGGAUCACCUCCUUUCUA